CUGCUUUAAGGGAUCAGAGUUGACUUAGAAAGCCAAUAAAAGCCCCUUUGGAAAGCUGGCCUCCUACCUUGUCUACCCAGUUCUUGUACAGGUUUCUGACCUGUGCUGUGCCUUCUUAAAGGCUGGAGCCUGGAGCACAUGAGGAGAAUUCACAGAAGUGCCUGGAAAGGGAACUGCGGUGGAUCUUACAGAGACUUGAAACAUGUGGAGAAGUUUGGCUUUUAUUCAUAAAGGACAAAGUGCUGCCUCCACCUCCCCACCUGUCUAGUUUUAUUCAGUGAUGUCUAUCCUCAUGACUUGGGCCAUUUUCAUCAUCACGUCUAUUUGGUUAC
Molecule: long non-coding RNA, 332 nt
Filed under: Homo sapiens (human)
Lineage: Eukaryota; Metazoa; Chordata; Mammalia; Primates; Hominidae
Description: PREDICTED lncRNA (TCONS_00228393)
Source: RNAcentral